UCAGGAUGAACGCUAGCGGCAGGCUUAACACAUGCAAGUCGAGGGGCAGCGGGUCUAGCAAUAGAUGCCGGCGACCGGCGAAAGGGUGAGUAACGCGUGAGCAACGUGCCCGUAUGUGGGGGAUAGUCGAUGGAAACGUCGCGUAAUACCCCGUAACACAUUUGGCCGCAUGGCCUUAUGUUGAAAGAUUUAUUGCAUACGGAUCGGCUCGCGUGCCAUUAGGUAGACGGCGGGGUAACGGCCCACCGUGCCGACGAUGGCUAGGGGUUCUGAGAGGAAGGUCCCCCACAUUGGAACUGAGACACGGUCCAGACUCCUACGGGAGGCAGCAGUGAGGAAUAUUGGACAAUGGCCGGAAGGCUGAUCCAGCCAUGCCGCGUGCGGGAAAGACGGCCCUAUGGGUUGUAAACCGCUUUUGCGGGGGAGCAAUAAGAGUCACGUGUGGCUCGAUGAGAGUACCCUGCGAAUAAGCAUCGGCUAACUCCGUGCCAGCAGCGGC
This 499-nucleotide ribosomal RNA is filed under the name uncultured bacterium. RNAcentral describes it as "bacterial SSU rRNA". It matches the Rfam family "Bacterial small subunit ribosomal RNA", at positions 24 to 518 of the family's 1533-position model. The record is from RNAcentral.